Molecule: unclassified non-coding RNA, 391 nt
Filed under: soil metagenome
Description: partial contains 5.8S ribosomal RNA, internal transcribed spacer 2, and large subunit ribosomal RNA
Rfam family: 5.8S ribosomal RNA (bases 1-122)
Source: RNAcentral
GAUGAAGAACGCAGCGAAAUGCGAUACUUGGUGUGAAUUGCAGAAUCCCGUGAACCAUCGAGUCUUUGAACGCAAGUUGCGCCCGAAGCCACUAGUCCGAGGGCACGCCUGCCUGGGCGUCACACGUCGUUGCCCCCCCAUCUACUCCUUCGGGAUUGCGGGGGGGCGGAUGAUGGCCUCCCGUGCGCCUAGCCGCGCGGUUGGCAUAAAUACCAAGUCCUCGGCGACGCACGCCACGACAAUCGGUGGUUGCGAAACCUCGGUUGCCCGUCGUGUGCGUUCGUCGCGCAUCGAGGGCUCGAAAAAAUGCUCGGCUCCGGCUGGGCUUUCAACGCGACCCCAGGUCAGGCGGGGUUACCCGCUGAAUUUAAGCAUAUCAAUAAGCGGAGGA